AAUGAACGCUGGCGGCGUGCCUAACACAUGCAAGUCGAACGGGAACCCUUGGAUUCGUCUGAGGGGGAGAGCGGCGAACGGGUGAGUAACACGUGGACAACCUACCUGGGAGCGGGGAAUAACUCGGGGAAACCUGAGCUAAUACCGCAUACGCUUUCCGGACUUCGGUUCGGUUUGGAAAGACGGCCUCUUCUUGAAAGCCGUCACUCCCAGAGGGGUCCGCGCCUGAUUAGCUAGUUGGUGAGGUAAUGGCUCACCAAGGCUUCGAUCAGUAGCCGGCCUGAGAGGGCGAUCGGCCACACUGGAACUGAGACACGGUCCAGACUCCUACGGGAGGCAGCAGUAGGGAAUAUUGCGCAAUGGGGGAAACCCUGACGCAGCAACGCCGCGUGGAGAAUGAAGGCCUUCGGGUCGUAAACUUCUGUCAGAUGGGACGAAAAUGCUCGGGCGAAACACCCGGGUCCUUGACGGUACCAUCAGAGGAAGCCCCGGCUAACUCCGUG
Molecule: ribosomal RNA, 503 nt
Filed under: uncultured Acidobacteriota bacterium
Lineage: Bacteria; Pseudomonadati; Acidobacteriota
Description: bacterial SSU rRNA
Rfam family: Bacterial small subunit ribosomal RNA
Source: RNAcentral